RNAcentral lists this non-coding RNA (101 nucleotides) under Virgibacillus chiguensis. Its description in RNAcentral is "SAM-I sequence". It matches the Rfam family "SAM riboswitch aptamer (S box leader)". From Rfam's summary of the family: The SAM riboswitch is found upstream of a number of genes which code for proteins involved in methionine or cysteine biosynthesis in Gram-positive bacteria. Lineage: Bacteria; Bacillati; Bacillota; Bacilli; Caryophanales; Bacillaceae. The record is from RNAcentral.
AUCUUAUCCAGAGAGGUGGAGGGACUGGCCCUUUGAUACCUCAGCAACAGGCAUCUUUUGCACUGUGCUAAUUCCAGAAGCGUAACGCUUGAAGAUAAGAA